GACGAACGCUGGCGGCGUGCCUAAUACAUGCAAGUAGAACGCUGAAGGGAGAGCUUGCUCUUCUGGAUGAGUUGCGAACGGGUGAGUAACGCGUAGGUAACCUGCCUGGUAGCGGGGGAUAACUAUUGGAAACGAUAGCUAAUACCGCAUAAUAGUAGAUGUUGCAUGACAUUUGCUUGAAAGGUGCAAUUGCAUCACUACCAGAUGGACCUGCGUUGUAUUAGCUAGUUGGUGGGGUAACGGCUCACCAAGGCGACGAUACAUAGCCGACCUGAGAGGGUGAUCGGCCACACUGGGACUGAGACACGGCCCAGACUCCUACGGGAGGCAGCAGUAGGGAAUCUUCGGCAAUGGACGGAAGUCUGACCGAGCAACGCCGCGUGAGUGAAGAAGGUUUUCGGAUCGUAAAGCUCUGUUGUAAGAGAAGAA
RNAcentral lists this ribosomal RNA (429 nucleotides) under Streptococcus sp. oral taxon 064. Its description in RNAcentral is "bacterial SSU rRNA". It matches the Rfam family "Bacterial small subunit ribosomal RNA", at positions 28 to 449 of the family's 1533-position model. The record is from RNAcentral. Lineage: Bacteria; Bacillati; Bacillota; Bacilli; Lactobacillales; Streptococcaceae.